Molecule: long non-coding RNA, 1603 nt
Organism: Spodoptera frugiperda (fall armyworm)
Lineage: Eukaryota; Metazoa; Arthropoda; Insecta; Lepidoptera; Noctuidae
Exons: 3
Source: RefSeq, a predicted model, not a curated record
UUAUUGCAAAGUAUUGUAGUAUAUGUUGUUUAUAAGUAAGUAAUUUUAUUUCAAAAUAAAAAUACCUACCAACUAAUAAAUAUUAGCAAGUCAGCCCGUGAGUUUAGCUGGCUAUUACAAACUAAAAUCCUCAUAUUAGAAAUCACCGAUCGAUAUUAUAUUGUUUUCUCAGAUUAGUAAUACAAAUAACUUUGGACGGACAAACAUUAGUAUUAUUUGUCACAUUAUAUUGCGUCUGGUACAUGAAUCCCGCGCGUUCCGAAACACUCAAAAUCAGUUGAACGGACGGUAAAACAAGUAUCUUUAAAUUUCUAAUGUUAUAGUAAAUAGAGUAUAAUUAUAUAAUAUCAUUUUAUGAUUUUAUUAUGGUUGUUCUGCAGCGAUUUUUCAAUUGAUGUUAUAUCAUAAUUUGGGUAAGUAAAAUUUUAUUGCUAUAAUUUUUCUGAAUUUCGGAACGUAUUUAAUAAAUUCUGUUUUAUCUAUGGUAUGGAUAUUUACUUUGCAAUAAUUUUCAUGACAUGAGACUACAUUUUGCUGCAAUUACAAGCGAUUUGAUCUGGUUUUGUUAUAAUUUCGUUUCAAUUUUAUGCGAAUAGGUACUGAGUUUAUAAAAGUAACAUAAUAUUGUCUUGUACUUAUAUAAUUAGUUUUUGUGUAUUUCGGAUUCCGUUUACAUCUAGGUACCUACUAUGUCGGGGUCCUACGAGAAAGUUGGCGUAUCAAUGCCACGAAUAUUCAGGCGCCCGUAAAUCGUCAAAACGAGUGAAAAGCGCAUUCAGUUGGAUACAUGUGGACGACAAGAUAGUAAACCUGUAAAUUAUAACUCAAGUUGUGGCCAGCUUCAUUGUAAACAAACUUUAGUUUUCAAGUUCAAGGACAAAUGCGUGUCAGUAACAUGGAUAAAUGCUACUUCAUAUGUUUUAUUUCAGUCAAUGAACCUUUGACUGUUAUAGAAGUUUGUCGAGAUAAUAUAAUGACUUUAUCAGCAAUAUGAUGCCAAAGUUAAUACACUUUUUUAAAGAAUGUAUUCUGCCAGAAAUAGUUUUGAACAUGUUCAAAAAAAUGCGAAAUGUAUACCUAGGUAUGAAAGCAGCUGUGUAGCGGUAGUUUCCAGGCAAUAAUGAGGAAGGAUGAGCGAAAACAACACGACAAAUGUUUUUUUAUUGUACUAUUAUAGUAGUGUGUUUAGAAUCUACAUUAUCAAUGUUUACAGUCAUGUUUUUUUUGAUGUCAGAAAACUGAAAUGGUGUACUCGUCGUAAUGAACAUAAUGUUCAUAAUGUGAUAUGAAUACAUUGACCUAUUUUAAGGUUUCUGAAAAACAAAAAGGAAAGUUGUUGCUUUUUUAUUUCCUUAUGUAGUAUAGUGAUUAUGGAUGCUUAGAUAUUCUCAAACAUUUUUCCGCUUUGAUUGCAAUCUAUUAUUCUGGUUGCCUUGUUUAUGAAUUAUAGUUUUGAAUUAUUAUUUUGAAUGAGAUUAUUUUUUAAUAAUCAGUCACGUAUCAAGCAUUCAUGUCACAUAAAUACUUGUAAUAAUUGCAGGUUAGUAUAUACAUUCUAUUAAAUAAUGUAUAAGAUAAUAAAAUAAAACUGUCUUACAUUGCA